This 767-nucleotide ribosomal RNA is filed under the name Nemania diffusa. Its description in RNAcentral is "eukaryotic LSU rRNA". It matches the Rfam family "Eukaryotic large subunit ribosomal RNA", at positions 149 to 938 of the family's 3401-position model. The record is from RNAcentral. Lineage: Eukaryota; Fungi; Ascomycota; Sordariomycetes; Xylariales; Xylariaceae.
UUUGUAGAGGAUGCUUUUGGCGCGGUGCCUUCCGAGUUCCCUGGAACGGGACGCCUUAGAGGGUGAGAGCCCCGUACGGUUGGACACCAAGCCUCUGUAAAGCUCCUUCGACGAGUCGAGUAGUUUGGGAAUGCUGCUCUAAAUGGGAGGUAAAUUUCUUCUAAAGCUAAAUAUUGGCCAGAGACCGAUAGCGCACAAGUAGAGUGAUCGAAAGAUGAAAAGCACUUUGAAAAGAGGGUUAAAUAGCACGUGAAAUUGUUGAAAGGGAAGCGUUUGCGACCAGACCUUUUCCUAGCGGAUCAUCCGGUGUUCUUCGCCGGUGCACUUCGCUAGGUCGAGGCCAGCAUCGGUUUCUGUAGGGGGAUAAAAGCUCAGGGAACGUAGCUCCUUCGGGAGUGUUAUAGCCCUCCGCAUAAUACCCUUACGGGGACCGAGGACCGCGCUUUUUGCAAGGAUGCUGGCGUAAUGGUCGUCAACGACCCGUCUUGAAACACGGACCAAGGAGUCGAACAUUUGUGCGAGUGUUUGGGUGUUAAACCCUCACGCGUAAUGAAAGUGAACGGAGGUGAGAGCCCUUACGGGUGCAUCAUCGACCGAUCCUGAUGUCUUCGGAUGGAUUUGAGUAAGAGCAUAACUGUUCGGACCCGAAAGAUGGUGAACUAUGCGUGGAUAGGGUGAAGCCAGAGGAAACUCUGGUGGAGGCUCGCAGCGGUUCUGACGUGCAAAUCGAUCGUCAAAUCUGCGCAUGGGGGCGAAAGACUUAUCGA